AGGUGCUGCAUGGCUGUCGUCAGCUCGUGUCGUGAGAUGUUGGGUUAAGUCCCGCAACGAGCGCAACCCUUGUCAUUAGUUGCUACAUUCAGUUGGGCACUCUAAUGAGACUGCCGGUGACAAGCCGGAGGAAGGUGGGGAUGACGUCAAGUCCUCAUGGCCUUUAUGACCAGGGCUACACACGUACUACAAUGGCAGGUACAAAGGGCAGCCACUUAGCGAUAAGGCGCGAAUCCCGUAAAACCUGUCUCAGUCCGGAUUGGAGUCUGCAACUCGACUCCAUGAAGUUGGAAUCGCUAGUAAUCGCAGAUCAGCACGCUGCGGUGAAUACGUUCCCGGGCCUU
RNAcentral lists this ribosomal RNA (344 nucleotides) under uncultured Desulfocapsa sp. RNAcentral describes it as "bacterial SSU rRNA". It matches the Rfam family "Bacterial small subunit ribosomal RNA", at positions 1036 to 1382 of the family's 1533-position model. The record is from RNAcentral. Lineage: Bacteria; Pseudomonadati; Thermodesulfobacteriota; Desulfobulbia; Desulfobulbales; Desulfocapsaceae.